AGAGUUUGAUCCUGGCUCAGAAUGAACGCUAGCGGCAGGCUUAACACAUGCAAGUCGAGCGAAGAACUGGUUCGCCAGUUCUUAGCGGCAAACGGGUGAGUAAUGAAUGGGAAUCUACCUAGAAGUCUGGGAUAGCCACUGGAAACGGUGAUUAAUACUAGAUACGCCCUGAGGGGGAAAGAUUUAUCGCUUUUAGAUGAGCCCAUUUCGGAUUAGCUAGUUGGUAGGGUAAGUGCCUACCAAGGCGAUGAUCCGUAGCCGGUCUGAGAGGACGGUCGGCCACACUGGGACUGAGACACGGCCCAGACUCCUACGGGAGGCAGCAGUGGGGAAUAUUGGACAAUGGGCGCAAGCCUGAUCCAGCCAUGCCGCGUGAGUGAAUAAGGCCUUCGGGUUGUAAAGCUCUUUUAGGGGGGAAGAUAAUGACGGUACCCCCAGAAAAAGUCCCGGCUAACUCUGUGCCAGCAGCCGCGGUAAUACAGAGGGGGCAAGCGUUAUUCGGAAUUAUUGGGCGUAAAGGGUGCGUAGGCGACCCAGCAAGUUGGAAGUGUAAUCCCGUGGCUUAACCACGGAACUGCUUUCAAUACUACUGGGAUUGAGGUAUGGAGAGGAUAGUGGAACUCCUAGUGUAGAGGUGAAAUUCGUAGAUAUUAGGGGGAACACCGGUGGCGAAGGCGGCUAUCUGGCCAUAUACUGACGCUGAGGCACGAAAGUGUGGGGAGCAAACAGGAUUAGAUACCCUGGUAGUCC
Molecule: ribosomal RNA, 750 nt
Filed under: uncultured bacterium
Lineage: Bacteria
Description: bacterial SSU rRNA
Rfam family: Bacterial small subunit ribosomal RNA
Source: RNAcentral